RNAcentral lists this ribosomal RNA (359 nucleotides) under Saccharibacillus soli. RNAcentral's name for it is "bacterial SSU rRNA". It matches the Rfam family "Bacterial small subunit ribosomal RNA", at positions 1 to 348 of the family's 1533-position model. The record is from RNAcentral. Lineage: Bacteria; Bacillati; Bacillota; Bacilli; Caryophanales; Paenibacillaceae.
UGGAGAGUUUGAUCCUGGCUCAGGACGAACGCUGGCGGCAUGCCUAAUACAUGCAAGUCGAGCGGACUUGAUGAAGAAGCUUGCUUCUUCUGAUGGUUAGCGGCGGACGGGUGAGUAACACGUAGGCAACCUGCCUUUCAGUUUGGGAUAACUUCCGGAAACGGAUGCUAAUACCGAAUACAUCAUCUUCUGGCAUCAGAGAAUGAGGAAAGACGGCGCAAGCUGUCACUGAGAGAUGGGCCUGCGGCGCAUUAGCUAGUUGGUGGGGUAAUGGCUCACCAAGGCGACGAUGCGUAGCCGACCUGAGAGGGUGAACGGCCACACUGGGACUGAGACACGGCCCAGACCCCUACGGGAGG